GAUGAACGCUAGCUACAGGCUUAACACAUGCAAGUCGAGGGGCAGCAUGAAGUUUGCUUGCAAACUUUGAUGGCGACCGGCGGAUGGGUGAGUAACGCGUACCCAACCUGCCCCCUUCCCGGGCACAGCCCUUGGAAACGAGGAUUAACGCCCGAUGCCGUCGGAUUGCCGCAUGGCAUUCCGACCAAAUGGGAAGGAAGGGGAUGGGGGUGCGUCCCAUUAGCUAGUUGGUGGGGUAACGGCCUACCAAGACGACGAUCAGUAGCCGGACUGAGAGGUUGAACGGCCACAUUGGGACUGAGAUACGGCCCAG
This 313-nucleotide ribosomal RNA is filed under the name uncultured bacterium. RNAcentral describes it as "bacterial SSU rRNA". It matches the Rfam family "Bacterial small subunit ribosomal RNA", at positions 28 to 334 of the family's 1533-position model. The record is from RNAcentral.